CCCGGCUAAUGUGGAGCAUCUUAGAGCUUCGUCUUGGGGCGCUUUCUCUGCCAGAUGGUGGUAAUGGUACAUGCCUGUAAUCUUAGCCCUUGGAGGCAGAGACAGUCUGAUCUCUGAGUUUGAGGCCAGCCUGGUCUACAGAGUUCUUUGGGGUGAGAUUUGUGAAAUGGCAGCCACUUGCUGAAUCACCAGUGGCAUGUGGCUCUGCUCUG
Long non-coding RNA from Acomys russatus (golden spiny mouse), 212 nucleotides. RefSeq lists it as uncharacterized. The transcript is spliced from 3 exons. The record is from RefSeq and is a predicted model, not a curated record. Lineage: Eukaryota; Metazoa; Chordata; Mammalia; Rodentia; Muridae.